Puntigrus tetrazona (Sumatra barb) is the source of this 2154-nucleotide long non-coding RNA. RefSeq lists it as uncharacterized. The transcript has 3 exons. The record is from RefSeq and is a predicted model, not a curated record. Lineage: Eukaryota; Metazoa; Chordata; Actinopteri; Cypriniformes; Cyprinidae.
UAUGGCUGCGCCGCACUGCUGCAUCUGAUUCUCCUGAAGAAAAAAAAACCGAUGUAAAGCGACCGAUGUCCACGGCGACACGCUAUUGUAAAGAUGACGUUUAUUAAAGAGGAGAGUGAAGAUGUGAAGAUCAAAGAAACGUUUGGAAUAAAACACGAAGAGAUUACGGAACCAGCAGAAUUUUGCUGCACUGCUUGAUGUGGCCGUGGGACAGGCAGCGACAAACUGUUUGAGGACCUUAGGGGCCUAGAACAUUUGCAGUGGACAAGAAGAUCAGAGAAGUACUGUGGAGCCUGGCUAUUUAGCCCCAUAUACACUUGCAAUGAAACCAAGUCAAACACAGUAUUCAACCGGCAGCCAAUGAAGAGAAGCUGGAACGGGUGUAUAUCGCCGCGUUCUUGCGAGGCACAUCAGAUCUCGCUUGUGCCACAAAAUCUUGUCACAACGAAUUUGAUGAAGUUUGUGCAAAAAUGGAUUUGAGGUUUCAAUGCGAGGCUGGGCAACUCUGGGUCACUGUCUGCAGAGACCAAACUUGGUAUAUUAUGAAAAGCAUGAAAGCAUGAGGGUACAGCACCACCUACUGGUCAAAAGAUAUAUAAAAUGUACAUUUCCGUUCAUAACCUCUGACCAGUCUGGCUAAAAAUCAUAAGAUCGGCCAUGUAGAUAUGAAAUGGUAUACUGAAUUGAACGAUACCUAAUUUUCCAAAUUGUGAGUUUAUAGUAAAAUAUCCGUCAACAAAUGUUUCUCGGGGGGCCUCCUGCUCAUGGAGAGCUGUAGAGUUCAGCUUCAGACACAAUCCAGUAUAUCUGAGCCAGAUAAUCAAGAUAUUCAGGGCUGCUUAAUUACUAACAGGUGUGUUGAAGCAGGGUUGAAACGUAAAGGUGCUGUAUGUAUGAUUGACACCCAGUGGUUGAACUAGAUAUUGCAGUCCAAACCUAAAAUAUUAUUUUUUUUACCCAGCCCCUGCUAUUUAGUCUUGACGCACCCGCAUGUUGCCAGAUUCCCGCUCAGACCCAUUUCGUUUGCCAGCUUCCAUGACUGAAAUGAAAUUUCAGGUCUGUUAUCUGCCAACUGCCAACCCGUGGUUACGAAACAACUUAGCAUACACCUGCAAACUGUGUGGGAAGACCUUCUCGCAAAGAGGAAAUCUGAAGACUUCACACCGGAGAGAGGCCAUUCAUUUGUUCAUUUGUGGCCAGUGUGGAAAAAGGUUCAGAGGUAAAGUUAACCUCAAUUACCACAUAAGGAUUCACUCAAGACAGAACCGUUUUCAGUGUGGGAGAAGUUUCGCAGACAGGAAACACUUUAAGAAACACGCGAUGACUUGCACUGUAGACAAGUUCUCAUGUCCUCAGUGUAAAAAGAGUUUUGCGUAUCAAUAAGACCUGAGACAUGGAAAGAAAGUGCAGUAUUCAGGCAUUUUUUUUUAAAAAAUUAGUGAUUUCAAAAACGUAAAAAUACACAUAAAAAGUCACGCAGAUGUGAGACGUUAUUUGUGUUCUUUGUGUGGGAAGAGUUUUAAAUGGCUCAGCAAUUUGAAAUGGCACCAGAAAACGCGUAUCUGUGCGAAAUUAAGACUUCGGUAAGACUGCAGCUGAUUGACCACCUUCACGAUCAUUUGCAUCAUUCACCUCCGUAUACUAAAAGAGACUUUUUAUUUUUAUGUUGUAUAUACAUAUAAGGUACAAAUUGUAUGGUGGCGAUGGUUCAUUACAUCUAUCGAAACCUUAAAAUCAAAGUUAAAAGGCUUAUCGGAUGCCCAUUUUCCACAAAUUGAUAUGAUUCUUUGUGGUCUUAAUGAAAAGUCUAUAACAUUGGUAACUUGGUUAAAAUUUGGAUUUACUGACAAGAUGCGCAUGAAUAUAUCGAUCGCUAUAUCUCGCCCAGCCUUUAAGAUGGAAAUAAAGAACGAAUGCUGUAAUUCUUGACCUCGAGAUCCACUUUCCUGCAGAAUUUAACUCCAAUCCUAAUCGAAUGCACAUGAACAAACUAAUCAAGAUCUUCAGGAUUACUACAGUUGCAGGUAGGUUUGUUUAAUCCAGGUUGGAGAUAAUCUCUGAAGUAAAGUGGAUUGGUUCUUGUGGAAGUGGAAGACCCCUGCUGUAACUUUAAGGGCUACUGUACAAACGUGACAACAACUUCCAUGUAAGGGG